GCUCCCAGGCAAUCCUGGAAAAUGCCGUGUCCAAGGCUCUGCUUCCCACGGUGCUGUUUAUUUUUGUGGACUAUUGAUUUUCUGCCAGGAUUGAGUGGAUUUAAUUUUAACUGAUGGUCCAGUGGUUCAUCCCAGCUUUAAAUUAUUGGUGAGCUUCAUGUCCCACGUUUGCAGCAUUCCAGUGCCUGGAAAGUGAGGGGAUUCCACACAAAUACCUGGGCAGGAGCAGCCAAAGGCAAGAGGAUGGUUUCAACUGCAGGCAAAACGCUGGAACAAAGGACAAGCUGUAUCUGAAAAGGAAAAUAUGGGGAAAUAAUCCCAAUCUCGUCAGUUCUGAACCUAACAGGAAUGUUGGAAUUGUCACUAAACUGAGUAGUUUUACUUCUGGCUUUUGGAGGCCUGAGUUCAUCUUCUUUGCUUGGAUUCACACUUAUAUAAGCAGGAAAAUCGAUGGAAAUAAAUUUCCAAUAGCAGCAGUUCAAACCCAUCUGGCUGUUCAAACUCUGGUUGGUGUCCCCCUGUAACACCCACACCUGGGAUGAGCCUGUGCUGCUCCGGGAGCAUCAGGAAUUUUUGUGGGAUCAGAGAUCCUCAAACCUCAUGCAGGUGUGUCCCUGGAAGUUCCAGGAGAGCUGAAGGAUGCCCAGAGCUGGAAUUCCCUCACCAGAGGAGCCUCAUCCUUGGAUGUGCUGAAGAGCAGUUCGGAGGCACCGUGGGCUGUGAGUGAUCCAAUAUCAUCAAAACCACUGAACUGAUCAGUUUAAUUCUAUUUUUAUCCCUCUCCUGUAACUAUUGAUUAACUUUUAACCCAGUUUUCAGGUGUGAGGUUUAUUUCCAUUCACCUGUCCCACCCCAGUGGCUGCUGCUGCUGAGCAGGCAGCACCAGGAGGCUCGGGGAUUUCAGAGCUGCUUUACCCAGCCUGGAUUUGUGGCAAAAUCCAUCAUAAAUCUACAUAAUUCUGAGUGUUUGCUGCUCCUUAAGCCAUUAAACAGAGAAUAUCCAGGGACAUCCAUCAGUGUCUCCCCACCCAAGUGUCGCAGCCGCUGGAGCGUCGAUGCUGACGGACUUCUCCAUGGUUUUGCCUGAGAGGAGUAAUUAAUCCUGACUUUCUGACAGCAGCAGAGCUGGCUGAGCAUCCACAUUCAUCUCCCUCAGAAAAGAACCACGGAAGGAAUCGGUGUUGGGAUCACAACAGAAUUUCUCCUUUUUUAGAACCGGAAAAAAAAAGUGGGAGCUGGAGUAUUGACACCAAAGAAGUUCCAGCAGCAGUUUUGUCUCUGUCUUCAGCCCCUCUGCUCUGGAGCUGCUAUGGAAACGGCUGCUCCCAGGAGUUUCCUCUCUAGAUUGAGUUGGAGAAGGGAUUAUUUAAAAUCAGAAGCCAUGGAUGUAGCACAACUGGACUUCAAGGGGAUACAGAGGAAAAUCAGGAGGCACAAGUGAAAAAUAAAACUGCUGUCUGGAAAAGAUGGAGCAGGAGCUUAGGGAAAAGGUUCCCUGGUCCAGGAUAAGCCGUUGGGGCAGCGAUGGGAAUGGAAAAGCACAGAAGAGCUCUUGGAAGUCAGUGUGGAAAAGAGGGAAGAGGGGAAGAGCUCACUGCAGGCAGAGGUUUAAUGAGAGAAACUCUUUUUAGGGGCCCGGAGGUGCCACAUGGCCCAAAAUCUCUUGAAAUCUGCAACAUCUGAGCACAUUAGCAAAGACCUCAUCUUCUUUCCAGCAGGGAGCUGAGCAGAAGCCAGGAUCCAGUGAAGCCAUGGAGCGGCUGGACUGUCUGAGAUCCUGGUUAUUCCCAUUUCCCUGGCACCAGUGAGUGGAGGAACCCCCAGGAGAAGGGGUGCGAGAGCCACGGAUCCCUCUGUGCCAGGCAGGAGCAUUCCCAGGGCUAGGGAUAGUCCUAAAAUUGUACUGCCACUAAAGAAGGGAUAAAAGGGCUCUGUGCUGUCUGCAGUGUAGGGAUAAUCAAUGAAAUGCAGGAUAAUUUAAUAUUUUCAGGAGUGCAGGGCUUGAUGGGUUUGGGAAUUUAUUCAAUGAAACUUUCAGUUCAGUGUUAGAGAAUUGGAUCAGUGACCCCUAAAAUAGUCCUGCCACAAACCCAAACUCACUGUGCCCUCCUCUGGAAUAUCUGCCUCUGGAAGUCACUCAUUUUGAGAGGAGAUUAUUUAUCUUGGCAGCUCUCAGAGCUGGCACAGCUCCUGUGGACGCCACUGGUGCCUCUUGGAUGUCUGGUCCAGCAGGAUCUGACGCGAGGCUGGGCACGUGUCUGACCCCCCUGCUGGCUUUCUCACUGCCUUCCUCCCAAGUUCUCCAGGUCUGUGCACCACCAGCAGCCCCUGCCCCUUUGCUGGGUGCACAGGGGGAAAUCAAUUCUGAUUAUGGGAUCCUUAAUUAUAGUCCUUCCGGGUAGAAAAGCCCUCUGUGAUCAUCAAGUCCAGCCAUCAACCAGCACCACCACCAUGGUCACCACUGUGUCCUCAGCUGCCUUUGGCUGCUUUGAUCCAACCCCUAAAGUUUCUCCUCUGGAAUUUAGACUUUUCCAUGAUUAGUAAUAAUUUCAUUUUGGUUCAUAUUUUGGUUCUCCUGAAAUGGGCAGGAGACACAUUUGUAUGUAAAACAUGACUGCGUGUCCUUGAUCCUGGGGCUCCACUGGGUAAGGAAAGCUUGUUUUCCCAGAGGAAUUAAUGUCUUGUUCACUAAUUAAUUCAGGAAGGAUUUCCUUCUGGAAAGGCCUUGGCAGGGGCUGCCCAGGGAGGCUUGGAGUCCCCAUCCCUGAAGGUGUCCAAGGAAGGCCUGGACAUGGCACUCAGAGCUCUGGGCUGGGGACAGGGUGGGCAUCCAAGGUUGGACACUGCUCCUGAAGGGCUUUUCCAACCUCAGUAAUUCUGUGAUCCUUAAGGAAAAGCCCAUUUUUAGCAGGCAAUAUUCAUUCAUCAACCACGUGCACCUUCCUAAAAGGAUGUGUGAUAUAUAUGAACACCCCCAUAACUAUGAAAUUGUGUAGGUGCCACUCGAUGGAACAUCCCCCAGCCCCAGCAAUCACUUGUACAUCACAGAGUCCUCACUGCAGCCAGAACUCCAUAAUCACAAAAUGAUUAGAAAGCCAUAAAAAACAAAGUUGUUUUGUCAGGAUCAUUUCCUCCCUGAUCACAGGGCUGAUGGAAAGUGGCUCUGGGCUUAAGUGAUAGAUGAGAGCCAUUAAUAGAGCCAGAGUGCUUCCCAGGCUGCUUGUAGCCAAAAUUAAAAGGGGAUUUUACCAGUCCUGGAUAGUUGGGAAGCCUGGAGAGUUGGCUGGGUGUUUUGGUGGGGUUGGUGUAAAAUACAGCCUCUCACAGCCAUGAAUUGCAUUAUUAUUCAUGAAUAAUUUCCUUAUAGUUAUUAUUUUGAUGGUGUAAGGUUAGAAAUUCCCCUCUUACUCCUCUGUUCACCUGUGAGCACAUCUUGGCUUUGUCAAAGGCCUUUAGAAAAAUCCUGGAAUAACAUCCUGAUGACACAAACCUCCCUUGUCUCCCUCUGGCAUUUGGCACUUUACAGGAGUAUAAAGCAAACUGCACAAACCCUGUUUCCAGAAAACUCCUGGGUGAAAUCCUGGUUAUGCACAGGAAAUGGUUGUGUGGGGGCUCCAGGGGGGCUGGAGAGGGA
This is a long non-coding RNA of Corvus hawaiiensis (hawaiian crow), 3634 nucleotides long. RefSeq lists it as uncharacterized. The record is from RefSeq and is a predicted model, not a curated record. Lineage: Eukaryota; Metazoa; Chordata; Aves; Passeriformes; Corvidae. The transcript has 3 exons.